This 16-nucleotide ribosomal RNA is filed under the name Mollugo verticillata. RNAcentral describes it as "partial 28S ribosomal RNA". Lineage: Eukaryota; Viridiplantae; Streptophyta; Magnoliopsida; Caryophyllales; Molluginaceae. The record is from RNAcentral.
CCCAGGUCAGGCGGGC